Vitis vinifera (wine grape) is the source of this 105-nucleotide non-coding RNA. Lineage: Eukaryota; Viridiplantae; Streptophyta; Magnoliopsida; Vitales; Vitaceae. The record is from RefSeq and is marked provisional.
GUAAAUUAUAGAGCAGAUUUCUUUUGGCAGAUGGCGAUCACAAGCCAAUGUGCUCAAAGGGCAUUGAGUGUGUCUGCCAAAGGAGAUUUGCUCGUGAAUUUAACU